This 401-nucleotide ribosomal RNA is filed under the name Deltaproteobacteria bacterium. Its description in RNAcentral is "partial 23S ribosomal RNA". It matches the Rfam family "Bacterial large subunit ribosomal RNA", at positions 2534 to 2925 of the family's 2925-position model. Lineage: Bacteria; Pseudomonadati; Myxococcota; Myxococcia. The record is from RNAcentral.
GGCUCAUCACAUCCUGGGGCUGGAGCAGGUCCCAAGGGUUCGGCUGUUCGCCGAUUAAAGUGGUACGUGAGCUGGGUUUAAAACGUCGUGAGACAGUUUGGUCCCUAUCUUUCGCGGGCGUAGGAUAUUUGAGAGGAGCUGUCCCUAGUACGAGAGGACCGGGAUGGACGAACCAAUGGUGUUCCAGUUGUCGCGCCAGCGGCAUUGCUGGGUAGCUAUGUUCGGACCGGAUAACCGCUGAAAGCAUCUAAGCGGGAAGCCGACCUCAAGAUGAGAUAUCCCUCUUGAUGGAGACAUCAAGACUGAAGGCCCCUCGGAGAUGACGAGGUUGAUAGGCCGGGUGUGCACGUGCGGCAACGCACUUAGCUUACCGGUACUAAUCGGCCGUGCGACUUAGCCAC